GUGUCCUUGUCUUCCUACGGUUUCAAGAGAAUACUUUAGAGACAGCGGCUCCAAAUGGCCUACUUGUCACUGAUUGAAGGAGAUGCUGACUUGAGAUAAAAACAGUUCCUAGGACCCUUCAAGGCCUCAACUAGAAAAGGCAAUUCUCUGUAAACACGUUGAGGGCAGAGGUUGUCUGUCUUAUCAUAGCUGUACCCCAGCACCUCACAGGAUGCCUGGAACAGACAAUUUUGGCUUUGUGAUGCAUCCCACAAUUACAAGAACUUCUUCACCGCCCUCUAGUGGUAAAGAUGAAGAUGUGACACUCAGAAUAACCAUUCGCCUUUCCUGCUGAUGUUGAACAUGGCCCCUUUUUUUCUGAUAACUCGCUGGACUUUAUAUAAUCCAAAAUUGUGAUUGCUCCAAAGUUGGCAGUUCAUCCUCACUUUACAGAUAAAGUUGACCUGUAGAACAGUGCUUCUCAAAUUGGCUGGCGAAGAACCAGUUUUUAAAAGAAUUUUAAUCUGCAAACCAAUCCAUUGUACAAUAAAAAUGAAUUAUUAAUACUGGACACAUUACAUUAAAAAACAAAGAUAUACAAAAUUGAACCAAAUUUUAUUAUCAUAUUCAACAGACAAAAUUGCAUUUCAAUAAAUAUAAUCAGAAUAAACAUAACGGGAAAAAUAAUUGCAAAAUCUGUACAUGUUUAUUGAAUGUGUGUAUUAUAUGAUUAAUAUAUAAAUUGCUAUUGCAUUUAUAAUUUUUGUUGUUCUGCAAUUAUAACUAAAUGAAAAAUUUUGAGUAAAAUAGUGUUUCUCUACUUUGAAUGAACACCAUGCAUAUAAAUAUUGAGCAUUCUUAAUGGACAAAUACACAAGUUAUGGCUUGC
RNAcentral lists this long non-coding RNA (868 nucleotides) under Homo sapiens (human). RNAcentral describes it as "HSALNT0359982". Lineage: Eukaryota; Metazoa; Chordata; Mammalia; Primates; Hominidae. The record is from RNAcentral.